GCGACCUUAGCUCAGCUGGGAGAGCGUCAGACUGAAGUCUAUAACUUCAAUCGCCUGUUAUCUGAAGGUCGUGUGUUCGAUCCACACAGGUCGCA
This 95-nucleotide transfer RNA is filed under the name Trichoderma virens Gv29-8. RNAcentral's name for it is "tRNA-Phe for anticodon GAA". It matches the Rfam family "tRNA". From Rfam's summary of the family: Transfer RNA (tRNA) molecules are approximately 80 nucleotides in length. Their secondary structure includes four short double-helical elements and three loops (D, anti-codon, and T loops). Further hydrogen bonds mediate the characteristic L-shaped molecular structure. tRNAs have two regions of fundamental functional importance: the anti-codon, which is responsible for specific mRNA codon recognition, and the 3' end, to which the tRNAs corresponding amino acid is attached (by aminoacyl-tRNA synthetases). tRNAs cope with the degeneracy of the genetic code in two manners: having more than one tRNA (with a specific anti-codon) for a particular amino acid; and 'wobble' base-pairing, i.e. permitting non-standard base-pairing at the 3rd anti-codon position. Lineage: Eukaryota; Fungi; Ascomycota; Sordariomycetes; Hypocreales; Hypocreaceae. The record is from Rfam by way of RNAcentral.